This 253-nucleotide ribosomal RNA is filed under the name uncultured bacterium. RNAcentral describes it as "partial 16S ribosomal RNA". It matches the Rfam family "Bacterial small subunit ribosomal RNA", at positions 524 to 776 of the family's 1533-position model. The record is from RNAcentral.
UACGUAGGGGGCAAGCGUUGUCCGGAAUCAUUGGGCGUAAAGAGCGUGUAGGCGGCCCGGUAAGUCCGCCGUGAAAGUCCAGGGCUCAACCCUGGGAUGCCGGUGGAAACUGUCGGGCUAGAGUCCGGAAGAGGCGAGUGGAAUUCCUGGUGUAGCGGUGAAAUGCGCAGAUAUCAGGAGGAACACCGAUGGCGAAGGCAGCUCGCUGGGACGGUACUGACGCUGAGACGCGAAAGCGUGGGGAGCGAACAGG